GUGGGGAAUUUUGGACAAUGGGGGCAACCCUGAUCCAGCAAUGCCGCGUGCAGGAAGAAGGCCUUCGGGUUGUAAACUGCUUUUGUACGGAACGAAACGGUCCUGGUUAAUACCUGGGGCUAAUGACGGUACCGUAAGAAUAAGCACCGGCUAACUACGUGCCAGCAGCCGCGGUAAUACGUAGGGUGCAAGCGUUAAUCGGAAUUACUGGGCGUAAAGCGUGCGCAGGCGGUUUUGUAAGACAGGCGUGAAAUCCCCGGGCUCAACCUGGGAAUGGCGCUUGUGACUGCAAGGCUGGAGUGCGGCAGAGGGGGAUGGAAUUCCGCGUGUAGCAGUGAAAUGCGUAGAUAUGUGGAGGAACACCGAUGGCGAAGGCAAUCCCCUGGGCCUGCACUGACGCUCAUGCACGAAAGCGUGGGGAGCAAACAGGAUUAGAAACCCCUGUAGUCC
RNAcentral lists this ribosomal RNA (450 nucleotides) under uncultured bacterium. RNAcentral's name for it is "partial 16S ribosomal RNA". It matches the Rfam family "Bacterial small subunit ribosomal RNA", at positions 354 to 796 of the family's 1533-position model. The record is from RNAcentral.